GGGGAUGUGGUGAAAUUGGUAUACACGCAUGCUUCAGGUGCAUGUACCGCAAGGUGUGAGAGUUCGAGUCUCUCCAUCCCCA
RNAcentral lists this transfer RNA (82 nucleotides) under bacterium. RNAcentral's name for it is "tRNA-Leu". It matches the Rfam family "tRNA". From Rfam's summary of the family: Transfer RNA (tRNA) molecules are approximately 80 nucleotides in length. The record is from RNAcentral.